Molecule: ribosomal RNA, 273 nt
Filed under: uncultured bacterium
Lineage: Bacteria
Description: partial 16S ribosomal RNA
Rfam family: Bacterial small subunit ribosomal RNA
Source: RNAcentral
CCGCCGGCGACCGGCGCACGGGUGAGUAACACGUAUGCAACCUGGCCGUGACAGAUGGAUAACCGGGAGAAAUCCCGCCUAAUACAACAUAAUGCCGGGAGGGGACAUCCCCUGCCGGCCAAAGGGGGCGACCCCGGUCACGGAUGGGCAUGCGGCGCAUUAGGUAGUUGGUGGGGCAACGGCCCACCAAGCCGACGAUGCGUAGGGGUUCCGAGAGGAAGGUCCCCCACAUUGGAACUGAGACACGGUCCAAACUCCUACGGAAGGCAGCAG